GACGAACGCUGGCGGCGUGCCUAAUACAUGCAAGUUGAGCGAUGAAGCUUGGUGCUUGCACCAAUUUGAAGAGCAGCGAACGGGUGAGUAACGCGUGGGGAAUCUGCCUUUGAGCGGGGGACAACAUUUGGAAACGAAUGCUAAUACCGCAUAACAACUUUAAACAUAAGUUUUAAGUUUGAAAGAUGCAAUUGCAUCACUCAAAGAUGAUCCCGCGUUGUAUUAGCUAGUUGGUGAGGUAAAGGCUCACCAAGGCGAUGAUACAUAGCCGACCUGAGAGGGUGAUCGGCCACAUUGGGACUGAGACACGGCCCAAACUCCUACGGGAGGCAGCAGUAGGGAAUCUUCGGCAAUGGACGAAAGUCUGACCGAGCAACGCCGCGUGAGUGAAGAAGGGUUUCGGAUCGUAAAACUCUGUUGGUAGAGAAGAACGUUGGUGGGAGUGGAAAGCUCAUCAAGUGACGGUAACUACCCAGAAAGGGACGGCUAACUACGUG
Molecule: ribosomal RNA, 497 nt
Filed under: uncultured bacterium
Lineage: Bacteria
Description: partial 16S ribosomal RNA
Rfam family: Bacterial small subunit ribosomal RNA
Source: RNAcentral